GGCCUGACAGCCCAACUGGUAGAGCACUGCACCAGCAUUGCAGAGGUCAGGCUUCGGAUCCCCGUUCAGGCCU
RNAcentral lists this transfer RNA (73 nucleotides) under Acropora cervicornis. Its description in RNAcentral is "tRNA-Ala". Lineage: Eukaryota; Metazoa; Cnidaria; Anthozoa; Scleractinia; Acroporidae. The record is from RNAcentral.